Ustilago trichophora is the source of this 144-nucleotide non-coding RNA. NCBI's taxonomy places the organism in Eukaryota, Fungi, Basidiomycota, Ustilaginomycetes, Ustilaginales, Ustilaginaceae. The record is from the annotation of a GenBank genome assembly.
GCUCCGGUGGCCAAGUUGGAUUAAGGCAUGUGGCUUAUGUUUCUCAGGCGACCGUGCAGUUGCUCUCAGAGAUCAUUGGGUUUUAUCGCAGAAAGCAAUUUCUACUAAACCGCGAGAUCGUGGGUUCGAGUCCCACCCGGAGCA